UACGACUACAUAUCAGGCAUAUCAAUAAGCGGAGGAAAAGAAACUAACAAGGAUUCCCUUAGUAACGGCGAGUGAAGCGGGAAGAGCUCGAAUUUGAAAUCUUCAAGGUUCUACCUUGACGAAUUGUAGUUUAAAGAAGUGUUUUCUGUUAGAGGAGUAGCAAAAGCUCCUUGGAAUGGGACAUCAUAGAGGGUGAGAAUCCCGUAUUUGGUUAUUCUUUCUAGCUUUGUGAUACACUUUCAAAGAGUCGGAUUGUUUGGGAAUGCAGUCCAAAAUGGGUGGUAAAUUUCAUCUAAAGCUAAAUAUUGGCGAGAGACCGAUAGCGAACAAGUACCGUGAGGGAAAGAUGAAAAGAACUUUGAAAAGAGAGUUAAACAGUACGUGAAAUUGUCAAAAGGGAAGCGUUUGACACCAGUGUUGUUUUUCCGAAAAUCAAUUAAGAAGGGCUUGAUUUUGUGUUGUAUUGACCUUAUCAGCUUUCUUCACUCUUUUUCGAGUCUUUCUUAAUGCACUUUUCGGUUAACAAGUCAACAUCAAUUUCUUUUGUUGUAAAAGGGUAUAGGAAGGUGGCUUUACUUUCGGAGUAAAGUGCUUAUAGCCUUUAUACCUCUACAAUCGGAGAGAUUGAGGUCUGCAGCGUAGAUCCUUCGGGGCUAGAUACACUUUGUGCUAAGUUAUAGCUUUUCAUAGACAACUUGUUGACUAUGUUUAGUCAUUGUAGCUUACUCGCUAGAUGCUAUUUUACCUACGCUUAGGAUGUUGAUCUACAGAGCGAGAGU
RNAcentral lists this ribosomal RNA (779 nucleotides) under uncultured Neocallimastigales. RNAcentral's name for it is "partial large subunit ribosomal RNA". It matches the Rfam family "Eukaryotic large subunit ribosomal RNA", at positions 24 to 640 of the family's 3401-position model. Lineage: Eukaryota; Fungi; Neocallimastigomycota; Neocallimastigomycetes; Neocallimastigales. The record is from RNAcentral.